Long non-coding RNA from Capsicum annuum, 728 nucleotides. RefSeq lists it as uncharacterized. The transcript has 3 exons. The record is from RefSeq and is a predicted model, not a curated record. Lineage: Eukaryota; Viridiplantae; Streptophyta; Magnoliopsida; Solanales; Solanaceae.
CCUAAGUCAUCUUCUCCAUACCCCUCCUCACCCCACCAAACCCCCUAAGUCAUCUUCUCCAUACCCCUCCUCACCCCCACCCCCAUUGGACAAACUACCAACCUUGUUUGGCAGCCUCCCUCCCCCGUUCAUCUUCUCAAUUUGCCCUCCCCUACCCCCACUGAAGUUAUCUUCUCCAUUUGGAAGGCAGCCCCUCCCCCCUCCCCUGGCUACGUCCCAUCAUCUUCUUCAAUAUGCCAUUCAGUAAUACCGAAGGACUUUGGAAUUGAUGAGAUUAUGUAUGAUGCAACAACAAAAUAUAAAGGAUUAGUAGAGGCAAUCGCAACACAGCUGAUGAUAGACAUAUCGAAUUGAAAGGUCAAGCACAAGCAGCUACAAUUUGAUUUGUAUGAUGGAGGACUGUAUUUGGUUUCUUCGUUCUUCCAGAAUUAACAAAUCAAAGAUUUUUAAGAUAAGAAUGUAUUGUGACAUUCAUACAUGCUCAAUAAAGGAUCAAGUUUAUGCAAGACGUCAAGGGAUGACAAAAGGGGUAGCCGGACUGAUUUUAACAAAUCAAAGAUUUCAGAAUCACCGGGGAGUAAUGGUGUAUUUAAAUUAGAAAAGUAGUAUUGUUGCUUUUUUUUAUUAAAUAUAUAUUGUAUGUGACACCAAAAUAUAUGACAAUGAAUAUUAAUGAAAAUACUGAACAAUCUGUUAUUUGUGUUGGUAUAUAAGAUUCUACAUACAAA